UUCGUCCUUUGAGAAAGCUUUAUGGCUGUCAUGUGAAUGAGUUUUAACCCUUUGGUUUUUCUUGUUAGAAAAACCAGUGAACAUGAAGAGCAGAAUAUAGAGGAUCAUUCUUAUUGGAGGUUGAAGGCAACAAGGCUGAGAGGAAUGUGGAGGCUGUGUGAAUCCUGAGGUUUCAGAGAGAAAUAAGGACUCUAUCAACAUCCAUUAUAAGGUGCCAUGGAAACACCAUGUAAUGAAAUCUAUGCCUGUCUACUUCAAGGGAAAUACAGCAAAUUCACUCUUCAGGUGCUUUCCAGAGAAAAAUAUAUGUGGGUCUCCAAUGUAUUUCCAUAUACAACAAGAGGAAGCUUCUAUGGUGAUGCCUGAUCAAGACACUGAUUUAUAAUGGUCAACUCACCAAUGAGGAAAAAUCUUUCCUGAGUCUACUGAUCAAAAUGCUAAGCUCCAUGGAAGAACCCUCAAAGAUCUAUCCAGCAAUGCUUUACCAGUUAUUUGAAAAUUUCACAGCUCACUAGGGUUCAUGUCAUCACAAAGCCUUUGCUGAGAGCAAAACUGUGAGGAAAGUCAUCCAUCGGACUCCUGACAGCCUCUGUUUGAGGGCUAACACCUGAGA
Long non-coding RNA from Mastomys coucha (southern multimammate mouse), 613 nucleotides. RefSeq lists it as uncharacterized. Lineage: Eukaryota; Metazoa; Chordata; Mammalia; Rodentia; Muridae. The transcript has 6 exons. The record is from RefSeq and is a predicted model, not a curated record.